UAGGGAAUCUUCCGCAAUGGACGCAAGUCUGACGGAGCAACGCCGCGUGAGUGAAGAAGGAUUUCGGUUCGUAAAACUCUGUUGUUAGAGAAGAACAGCGCAUAGAGUAACUGUUAUGCGUGUGACGGUAUCUAACCAGAAAGCCACGGCUAACUACGUGCCAGCAGCCGCGGUAAUACGUAGGUGGCAAGCGUUGUCCGGAUUUAUUGGGCGUAAAGCGAGCGCAGGCGGUCAAUUAAGUCUGAUGUGAAAGCCCCCGGCUCAACCGGGGAGGGUCAUUGGAAACUGGUUGACUUGAGUGCAGAAGAGGAGAGUGGAAUUCCAUGUGUAGCGGUGAAAUGCGUAGAUAUUAGGAGGAAUACCAGUAGCGAAGGCGACUUUCUGGACACAAACUGACGCUGAGGUACGAAAGCGUGGGGAGCAAACAGG
Molecule: ribosomal RNA, 429 nt
Filed under: Bacteroidota bacterium
Lineage: Bacteria; Pseudomonadati; Bacteroidota
Description: Bacteroidetes bacterium partial 16S ribosomal RNA
Rfam family: Bacterial small subunit ribosomal RNA
Source: RNAcentral